RNAcentral lists this ribosomal RNA (169 nucleotides) under Helotiaceae sp. RNAcentral describes it as "partial small subunit ribosomal RNA". It matches the Rfam family "Eukaryotic small subunit ribosomal RNA", at positions 1352 to 1544 of the family's 1831-position model. Lineage: Eukaryota; Fungi; Ascomycota; Leotiomycetes; Helotiales; Helotiaceae. The record is from RNAcentral.
UAAAUAGCCAGGCUAGCUUUGGCUGGUCGCCGGCUUCUUAGAGGGACUAUCGGCUCAAGCCGAUUGUAAGUAGACGCAAUAUCCUGUCGUUGAUCCCCUUACAUGGUCUGGGCCGCACGCGCGCUACACUGACAGAGCCAACGAGUUUCUUCCUUGUCCGAAAGGUCUG